AGAGUUUGAUCCUGGCUCAGAUUGAACGCUGGCGGCAUGCUUUACACAUGCAAGUCGAACGGUAACAGGGAGCUUGCUCCGCUGACGAGUGGCGAACGGGUGAGUAAUGCAUCGGAACGUACCCAGUCGUGGGGGAUAACGUAGCGAAAGUUACGCUAAUACCGCAUACGUCCUGAGGGAGAAAGCGGGGGACCGUAAGGCCUCGCGCGAUUGGAGCGGCCGAUGUCGGAUUAGCUAGUUGGUAGGGUAAAGGCCUACCAAGGCGACGAUCCGUAGCGGGUCUGAGAGGAUGAUCCGCCACACUGGGACUGAGACACGGCCCAGACUCCUACGGGAGGCAGCAGUGGGGAAUUUUGGACAAUGGGCGAAAGCCUGAUCCAGCCAUGCCGCGUGAGUGAAGAAGGCCUUCGGGUUGUAAAGCUCUUUCAGACGGAAAGAAAUCGCAUCUUCUAAUACAGGGUGUGGAUGACGGUACCGUAAGAAGAAGCACCGGCUAACUACGUGCCAGCAGCCGGCGGUAAAU
This 523-nucleotide ribosomal RNA is filed under the name uncultured Dechloromonas sp. RNAcentral's name for it is "bacterial SSU rRNA". It matches the Rfam family "Bacterial small subunit ribosomal RNA", at positions 8 to 525 of the family's 1533-position model. Lineage: Bacteria; Pseudomonadati; Pseudomonadota; Betaproteobacteria; Rhodocyclales; Azonexaceae. The record is from RNAcentral.